UUUUCCUGUGAGGGUGACUGCGGAGGGAUCAUUA
Molecule: ribosomal RNA, 34 nt
Filed under: Trichothecium sp. B-6
Lineage: Eukaryota; Fungi; Ascomycota; Sordariomycetes; Hypocreales
Description: partial 18S ribosomal RNA
Source: RNAcentral